GACGAACGCUGGCGGCGUGCCUAAUACAUGCAAGUAGAACGCUGAAGGAGGAGCUUGCUUCUCUGGAUGAGUUGCGCACGGGUGAGUAACGCGUAGGUAACCUGCCUGGUAGCGGGGGAUAACUCUUCGAAACGAUAGCUCAUACCGCAUAAUAGUAGAUGUUCCAUGACAUUUACUUAUAAAGUGCAAUUGCAUCACUACCAGAUGGUCCUGCGUUGUAUUAGCUAGUUGGUGAGGUAACGGCUCACCAACGCAACGAUACAUAGCCGGCCUGCGAGGGGGGUCGGGCACAAUGGGACUGGGACACGGCCCAGACUCCUACGGGGGGGAGCAGGAGGGAAUCUUCGGCAAUGGAGCGAAGUCUGACCGGGCAACGCCGCGUGAGUGAAGGAGGUUUUCGGAUCGUAAAGCUCUGUUGUAAGAGAAGAACGAGUGGGGGAGUGGAAAGUGCACACUGUGACGGUAUCUUACCAGAAAGGGACGGCUAACUACGUG
Molecule: ribosomal RNA, 495 nt
Filed under: uncultured bacterium
Lineage: Bacteria
Description: partial 16S ribosomal RNA
Rfam family: Bacterial small subunit ribosomal RNA
Source: RNAcentral